GACGAACGCUUGCGGCGUGCUUAACACAUGCAAGUCGAACGGAAAGGCCCUGCUUUUGUGGGGUGCUCGAGUGGCGAACGGGUGAGUAACACGUGAGUAACCUGCCCUUGACUUUGGGAUAACUUCAGGAAACUGGGGCUAAUACCGGAUAGGAGCUCCUGCUGCAUGGUGGGGGUUGGAAAGUUUCGGCGGUUGGGGAUGGACUCGCGGCUUAUCAGCUUGUUGGUGGGGUAGUGGCUUACCAAGGCUUUGACGGGUAGCCGGCCUGAGAGGGUGACCGGCCACAUUGGGACUGAGAUACGGCCCAGACUCCUACGGGAGGCAGCAGUGGGGAAUAUUGCACAAUGGGCGGAAGCCUGAUGCAGCAACGCCGCGUGCGGGAUGACGGCCUUCGGGUUGUAAACCGCUUUCGCCUGUGACGAAGCGUGAGUGACGGUAAUGGGUAAAGAAGCACCGGCUAACUACGUGCCAGCAGCCGCGGUGAUACGUAGGGUGCGAGCGUUGUCCGGAUUUAUUGGGCGUAAAGGGCUCGUAGGUGGUUGAUCGCGUCGGAAGUGUAAUCUUGGGGCUUAACCCUGAGCGUGCUUUCGAUACGGGUUGACUUGAGGAAGGUAGGGGAGAAUGGAAUUCCUGGUGGAGCGGUGGAAUGCGCAGAUAUCAGGAGGAACACCAGUGGCGAAGGCGGUUCUCUGGGCCUUUCCUGACGCUGAGGAGCGAAAGCGUGGGGAGCGAACAGGCUUAGAUACCCUGGUAGUCCACGCUGUAAACGGUGGGUACUAGGUGUGGGGUCCAUUCCACGGGUUCCGUGCCGUAGCUAACGCUUUAAGUACCCCGCCUGGGGAGUACGGCCGCAAGGCUAAAACUCAAAGGAAUUGACGGGGCCCCGCACAAGCGGCGGAGCAUGCGGAUUAAUUCGAUGCAACGCGUAGAACCUUACCUGGGUUUGACAUGGAUCGGGAGUGCUCAGAGAUGGGUGUGCCUCUUUUGGGGUCGGUUCACAGGUGGUGCAUGGCUGUCGUCAGCUCGUGUCGUGAGAUGUUGGGUUAAGUCCCGCAACGAGCGCAACCCUUGUUCACUGUUGCCAGCACGUUAUGGUGGGGACUCAGUGGAGACCGCCGGGGUCAACUCGGAGGAAGGUGGGGAUGACGUCAAGUCAUCAUGCCCCUUAUGUCCAGGGCUUCACGCAUGCUACAAUGGCUGGUACAGAGAGUGGCGAGCCUGUGAGGGUGUGCGAAUCUCGGAAAGCCGGUCUCAGUUCGGAUUGGGGUCUGCAACUCGACCUCAUGAAGUCGGAGUCGCUAGUAAUCGCAGAUCAGCAACGCUGCGGUGAAUACGUUCCCGGGGCU
Molecule: ribosomal RNA, 1346 nt
Filed under: uncultured bacterium
Lineage: Bacteria
Description: partial 16S ribosomal RNA
Rfam family: Bacterial small subunit ribosomal RNA
Source: RNAcentral